CGUAGGGUGCGAGCGUUAAUCGGAAUUACUGGGCGUAAAGCGUGCGCAGGCGGUUUUGUAAGACAGGCGUGAAAUCCCCGGGCUCAACCUGGGAACUGCGCUUGUGACUGCAAGGCUAGAGUACGGCAGAGGGGGGUGGAAUUCCACGUGUAGCAGUGAAAUGCGUAGAGAUGUGGAGGAACACCAAUGGCGAAGGCAGCCCCCCGGGGUCGAUACUGACGCUCAUGCACGAAAGCGUGGGUAGCAAACAGGAUUAGAUACCCUGGUAGUCCACGCCCUAAACGAUGUCAACUAGGUGUUGGGUGGGUAAAACCAUUUAGUACCGGAGCUAACGCGUGAAGUUGACCGCCUGGGGAGUACGGCCGCAAGGUUA
RNAcentral lists this ribosomal RNA (373 nucleotides) under uncultured organism. Its description in RNAcentral is "bacterial SSU rRNA". It matches the Rfam family "Bacterial small subunit ribosomal RNA", at positions 526 to 896 of the family's 1533-position model. The record is from RNAcentral.